Molecule: long non-coding RNA, 1504 nt
Organism: Phyllostomus discolor (pale spear-nosed bat)
Lineage: Eukaryota; Metazoa; Chordata; Mammalia; Chiroptera; Phyllostomidae
Exons: 2
Source: RefSeq, a predicted model, not a curated record
UGGCGGCCAGAAAGCUCCUCCCCUAGUGGCCAGGGCCACGAGUUAAGGGUUUCCCGCCUUUUGCUGGUGUGCGCUGCUCCUGGGGUGGCGAAGCCAUCCCCGAGGGCCUUUUCCUGUGUCUCCUCUGGUGCGUAGAAGAGCCAAGCAACACUGCUUCUCAGCCACAGUGGUCACUGCACGCCUUUCCUGCCUUCACAUACCUAACGGGAUAUGACCCUUUGCCGGGAGCUGUAACCUUCCUAGAGUGCAGCUCUACGCAAUAUAUCGGAGCCCCACAAUACACUGGCGCCUUGCUCAUCCUGAAAUAACCUGUUCAAGGCACCGAGCUGCAGAGCGUCUAGUUUUGUUGUGUCCAAAACCCCUCACUAGAGCAGAAACAGACAUCCAGGGCCACUCUCCGCCCAAGGGCAAAGCCCAGAUCCUGUGCAAGCUUGAAGAACUGGUGAUUUGCUGGGAUGGAUAAGACUGCACCUAGCGAGAGGCCACAGAAAAGGGAGAAUGUAGCAGAAGGAACAAAGAGCCCUUAACAUGGGCAGAAGAAAGAGGAUUUUUCAUUAGGAAGUUCUAAUGGAAGGGUUUGAAGAAGAUGGGCCAUUCUCAAGUGUGGACCACUCAUUCCUUAAAAAUAAAUUUUAAAAAACCCGUGACCCAUGUGUCGUUCAGAGGUCCUAUGUACACAUAGGCCUGGAAAGAGAGGAAGGGGAGCUUGUAUAUUCUGGAGGGAAUGGGAGCAUGAAGAAGACCCUCACUCCCUAAACCAGAGAGAACCAGACAGAAGCAAUUGGAAAUUUUCUGAACAAAGUGGUGGUGGACCCAAUUUCACUGUUAUACAUUCUGUUAACAGGCCUAUGGGGUGUUAGCGAUUUGGAAGUCUGGAGGAAAAUAAUUAGAUGGUCAUAUAAUAGAGUUUAAAGAGGUAUUCCCUUAUCACUCUAAAUGCAAAAUACAACAGAAUCACCACUCUUUCUUCUCUUUCUUUUUAAUCUUAUGUUUUAGGUAUCCAGAUACUGUGUUGAGUUAGUUAUCACAGUACCACUCACUAAACAGUCAUUUCAUUCAUCAAUGAUAUAAUUUAAUUAGGGGGUUAGUAAAGGUUAAGACACUCCUAGGCAUCAUCAAUGAAAAUUAAUGCUUUACACAAAUGCAUCAAAGUGUGGGACUCCCAUUAUUCUAUUAGUAAAAUGGGGCCUCUUUCAAAUGAAGGCUCAGUGAUUACUCUUUCUUUCAUUCAUUCAUUCACCCAUCCAUCCAUCCACUCAUGUAUUCUUUCAGUAUUAGAAUACACAACUCUUACAUGCACCCUUUUUAGUAGCCAUACAGAGGCAUAAAAAUAUGUAUAAGACAUGAUCACUGCCUUCUAGGGCAUUACAUGUAUUUGAAGAGAUAAAAUACUUAGAGGAGGAAGAACUAGCUAGAGUGAUCAGGGGAGGCUUCUUAGAGUUAGUGGCAUUUGAACUGAACUUUGAAAAAUAAAAAAUAAAAAAGAAAGAAAGAAAAGAAAAAA